GAUGAACGCUGGCGGCGUGCUUAACACAUGCAAGUCGAACGGGGAUUACACGGAGAUGCGAUUUCGGUCAAAUCAAGUGCAAUCUUAGUGGCGGACGGGUGAGUAACGCGUGGGUAACCUGCCUUGCACUGGGGGAUAACACUUAGAAAUAGGUGCUAAUACCGCAUAAGCGCACGGUCCUGCAUGGGACAGUGUGAAAAACUCCGGUGGUGCAAGAUGGACCCGCGUCUGAUUAGCUGGUUGGCGGGGUAAAGGCCCACCAAGGCGACGAUCAGUAGCCGGCCUGAGAGGGUGGACGGCCACAUUGGGACUGAGACACGGCCCAA
RNAcentral lists this ribosomal RNA (326 nucleotides) under uncultured bacterium. RNAcentral's name for it is "bacterial SSU rRNA". It matches the Rfam family "Bacterial small subunit ribosomal RNA", at positions 28 to 334 of the family's 1533-position model. The record is from RNAcentral.